CCGAGUUUACAACUCCCAAACCCCUGUGAACAUACCUAUACGUUGCCUCGGCGGAUCAGCCCGCGCCCCGUAAAAAGGGACGGCCCGCCCGGGGACCCCUAAACUCUGUUUUUAGUGGAACUUCUGAGUAAAACAAACAAAUAAAUCA
Molecule: unclassified non-coding RNA, 148 nt
Filed under: soil metagenome
Description: partial internal transcribed spacer 1
Source: RNAcentral